This 394-nucleotide ribosomal RNA is filed under the name uncultured bacterium. RNAcentral describes it as "partial 16S ribosomal RNA". It matches the Rfam family "Bacterial small subunit ribosomal RNA", at positions 355 to 741 of the family's 1533-position model. The record is from RNAcentral.
UGGGGAAUAUUGGACAAUGGGCGAAAGCCUGAUCCAGCCAUGCCGCGUGUGUGAAGAAGGUCUUCGGAUUGUAAAGCACUUUAAGUUGGGAGGAAGGGCAUUAACCUAAUACGUUAGUGUUUUGACGUUACCGACAGAAUAAGCACCGGCUAACUCUGUGCCAGCAGCCGCGGUAAUACAGAGGGUGCAAGCGUUAAUCGGAAUUACUGGGCGUAAAGCGCGCGUAGGUGGUUUGUUAAGUUGGAUGUGAAAUCCCCGGGCUCAACCUGGGAACUGCAUUCAAAACUGACUGACUAGAGUAUGGUAGAGGGUGGUGGAAUUUCCUGUGUAGCGGUGAAAUGCGUAGAUAUAGGAAGGAACACCAGUGGAGAAGGCGACCACCUGGACUAAUACU